RNAcentral lists this long non-coding RNA (222 nucleotides) under Nicotiana benthamiana. RNAcentral describes it as "long non-coding RNA (NBEN_LNC009168)". Lineage: Eukaryota; Viridiplantae; Streptophyta; Magnoliopsida; Solanales; Solanaceae. The record is from RNAcentral.
GGUCGUGAGGAAUUAGCAAAAAUGAUUGCUUUGGGUUGUCUACCUUUUUCUUUUGCUUCUUAAUCGUAUCUUAUUAUGUAUAUUCAAAGGAUUUACAAUCCUUUAUUUGAAGGUAUCCGUAAAAGUACUUGUAGAGCAGAUAUCUUUAGACUUCAUGGACAAUAUCAAACAUACAUACAUUAUUUGUUUAGCCACCUUCCUUCUAGAGUAUGUCUAACUNNN